AAUCCAGCCCAGGAGGGCGGGGCUCCUGCACGCCGCUCCCUGCCCGACUUCCGGCCCGCCGGGCGCCUAUUGUCACACCCAGCUGCCGACCUGUACCGGGAUUCUUGUCCCAGCCUGCAGUGUCUCCAUCACAGAAGGGAAUGUUAGAACCCCGUCUGUGUUAGAGACAGAGAGCUGUUAGGGGUAGCGGCUCUGCAGCCCAUCACAUGGAUUGAAUCUCAGCUCGUCUAGUUUUCCCAUCUAAAAUGAAAAGUAGGCCGGGCGCGGUGCCUCACGCCUAUAAGCCCAGCACUUUGGGAGGCCGAAGCCGGUGGAUCACGAGGUCAAGAGAUCAAGACCAUCCUGGUCAACAAGGAAUAUGGAACACAGAGGAACAAGAUACAACAAGGAGGCAAACUCAAAAAUCCAUACUGAGGAACAUUCUAAAGGAAAAGUGACCCAGUUUCUGCAGGAAAUUGAUGGUAUAAUAAAGGCUGGGUGAGUUAAGGAAUGCUCUAGAGUAAAGAGAAUUCAGAGGGUAAUAGAUGUGGCAGUAUGUGGACCUUAUUCGAAUCCUGAUUUGAACAACUGUAUACAGACAUUUUUCAGACAACAGGAGACAUUUUAUUUAUUUUAUUUUAUUAUUAUUUUUUUUUUGAGAUGGAAUUUCACUUUUGUUACCCAGGCUGGAGUGCAAUGGCGCAAUCUCGGCUCACCGAAACCUCCGCCUCCUAGGUUCAGGCAAUUCUCCUGCCUCAGCCUCCUGAGUAGCUGGGAUUACAGGCACGCGCCACCAUGCCCAGCUAAUUUUUUGUAUUUUUAGUAGAGACGGCGUUUCACCAUGUUGACCAGGAUGGUCUCGAUCUCUUGACCUGGUGAUCCACCGGCCUCGGCCUCCCAAAGUGCUGGGAUUACAGGCGUGAGCCACCGCGCCUGGCCGGGAGACAUUUUAUUAAUGGAGUGUGAGCAAAUAAUCAAUAAACUAUUGUUAAUUUUG
Molecule: non-coding RNA, 976 nt
Organism: Callithrix jacchus (white-tufted-ear marmoset)
Lineage: Eukaryota; Metazoa; Chordata; Mammalia; Primates; Cebidae
Source: RefSeq, a predicted model, not a curated record